UACGUAGGGGCCGAGCGUUGUCCGGAGUUACUGGGCGUAAAGCGCGCGCAGGCGGCCAUCUAAGCCCGGCGUGAAAGCCCCCGGCUCAACCGGGGAGGGUCGUCGGGGACUGGGUGGCUUGAGGACGGCAGGGGCUGGUGGAAUCCCCGGUGUAGUGGUGAAAUGCGUAGAGAUCGGGGGGAACACCCGUGGCGAAGGCGGCCAGCUGGGCCGUUCCUGACGCUGAGGCGCGAAGGCGUGGGGAGCGAACAGG
This 253-nucleotide ribosomal RNA is filed under the name uncultured bacterium. Its description in RNAcentral is "partial 16S ribosomal RNA". It matches the Rfam family "Bacterial small subunit ribosomal RNA", at positions 524 to 776 of the family's 1533-position model. The record is from RNAcentral.